This 679-nucleotide unclassified non-coding RNA is filed under the name Hevea brasiliensis (rubber tree). The record is from RNAcentral. Lineage: Eukaryota; Viridiplantae; Streptophyta; Magnoliopsida; Malpighiales; Euphorbiaceae.
AUUUUGUUGAGCGAGUAAUCAUCAGUAAAACAGUAAGCACUGGCAACAACGGCUUCCAGAAGAUUCUCUGCAUUAUCUUCUUUCAGAUGCCAUCCAUCUGAUGGCUCACUAUUAAAUGUACAAUCUGCAGCAUAGAUGGAUUUGCUAGAUGGAUUUGCACUAAAGCCAGACAAGUUGUGAAUUGUACUUCCAAAGGCUUCGUAUAGUUCACGUUCUGUCGAGCAGCUAAAAGAAUUACUUACAUUUCCGAGAACAGUGUUGUGGCAAUCCAUUCCAAGAGAUCGUGGAUCUAGCAUGUCUCCAUCAAAGUGAAAAUCUACCUCAUUGGAAACACCGACUCCGCCGACAUUGCAGCUAGAGUAAGAAAAGGCAUCUAUAUCUUUUGUAUGGCAAGAAGAUCUAACGAUGCUUCUUUCGGUUAUCCCUGAUCUAUUAUCAUCAGAAUAUCCAUGAGCAAGUUGCUUCACUAGAUUAAUCAUGUCCACAUGUUGCAUUGGAAUUUCCCAUUUAUAUGCAUUUUCAAGAACAUUUGGCAUGUGUUCAACAAAUUUGCCAAUUUUGCUUCCAUUUUCAUUCUCGAGGACAUUUUGCAUGUGUUGUCCAGAUAACUGAAAGGGAUGUUGAACAUCAAUUAGUGAAGUCAUUGGAAAUACAGCUGAUGAUUUGUGAUCUUCCACAA